This 705-nucleotide ribosomal RNA is filed under the name Macrobrachium sp. GUI. RNAcentral's name for it is "bacterial SSU rRNA". It matches the Rfam family "Eukaryotic small subunit ribosomal RNA", at positions 595 to 1268 of the family's 1831-position model. Lineage: Eukaryota; Metazoa; Arthropoda; Malacostraca; Decapoda; Palaemonidae. The record is from RNAcentral.
UAGCGUAUAUUAAGUUGUUGCGGUNAAAAAGCUCGUAGUUCGAGUUCAGUUUCGGACUGGGGUGGGAGGUCACCGCCCGGUGCUUCCCCUCUAGGCUCCGAACAGCUUCCUUUAUGGGAAGCCAAGCCGGUUCUGGCGGGGUGCUCUUUACCGAGUGUCCCGCGCGGCCGGCCAGUUCACCUUGAAUAAAUGAGAGUGCUCAAAGCAGGCUACUCUGGAAUACAAUGCCCGAAUGUUAACUGCAUGGAAUGAUGGAAGAUGAUCUCGGUUCCAUUUUGUUGGUGGUGGGAGCCAGAGGUAAUGAUAAACAGGGACUGUCGGGGGCAUCCGUACUACGACGCGAGAGGUGAAAUUCAGUGACCGUCGUAGGACGAACAACAGCGAAAGCAUUUGCCAAGAAUGUCUUCGUUGAUCAAGAACGAAAGUUAGAGGAUCGAAGGCGAUCAGAUACCGCCCUAGUUCUAACCCUAAACGAUGCUGACUAGCAAUUCGCCGUCGUUAUUCCCAUGACGUGGCGAGACGCCCCCGGGAAACCUCAAGUUUUUGAGUUCCGGGGGUAGUAUGGUUGCAAAAGUGAAACUUAAAGGAAUUGACGGAAGGGCACCACCAGGAGUGGAGCCUGNGGCUUAAUUUGACUCAACACGGGAAAGCUCACCAGGCCCGGACACCAGAAGGAUUGACAGAUUAAGAGCUCUUUCUCGAUUU